RNAcentral lists this ribosomal RNA (429 nucleotides) under uncultured bacterium. Its description in RNAcentral is "bacterial SSU rRNA". It matches the Rfam family "Bacterial small subunit ribosomal RNA", at positions 355 to 776 of the family's 1533-position model. The record is from RNAcentral.
UGGGGAAUAUUGGACAAUGGGGGCAACCCUGAUCCAGCGAUGCCGCGUGUGUGAAGAAGGCCUACGGGUUGUAAAGCACUUUCGGUGGGGAGGAGGGCUGAUAGGUUAAGAGCUAAUCAGCUGGACGUUACCUACAGAAGAAGCACCGGCUAACUCCGUGCCAGCAGCCGCGGUAAUACGGAGGGUGCAAGCGUUAAUCGGAAUUACUGGGCGUAAAGGGUGCGUAGGCGGUUUAAUAAGUUAAGUGUGAAAUAUCUGGGCUUAACCUGGAGAAGUCACUUAAGACUGUUAGACUUGAGUAUGGGAGAGGGUAGUGGAAUUUCCGGUGUAGCGGUGAAAUGCGUAGAGAUCGGAAGGAACACCAGUGGCGAAGGCGGCUACCUGGCCCAAUACUGACGCUGAGGCACGAAAGCGUGGGGAGCAAACAGG